UCUGUAGGCGGUGCGGCAAGUCGGAAGUGAAAUCUCAGGGCUCAACUCUGAGUCUGCUUUCGAAACUGCCGUGCUGGAGUGCGGGAGAGGUGAGUGGAAUUGCAGGUGUAGCGGUGAAAUGCGUAGAUAUCUGCAGGAACACCAGAGGCGAAGGCGGCUCACUGGACCGCAACUGACGCUGAGAGACGAAAGCUAGGGGGAGCAAACAGGAUUAGAUACCCUGGUAGUCCUAGCCCUAAACCAUCAGGACUUGGCGUGGGUCCCGUUCGGGGCCCGUGUCGGAGCUAACGUGUGAAGUCCUGCGCCUGGGGAGUACGGCCGCAAGGCUGAA
RNAcentral lists this ribosomal RNA (331 nucleotides) under uncultured bacterium. RNAcentral's name for it is "bacterial SSU rRNA". It matches the Rfam family "Bacterial small subunit ribosomal RNA", at positions 568 to 898 of the family's 1533-position model. The record is from RNAcentral.